UUUAAUCUGUUUUCUUUGCUCGGUUGGGUUUGCUCCUUGUGCUUGAUCCUGAAAAGAGUUCUGAAGCCACCCCUCUCCUUGCUGGGAUGUUGUUCCCCUGGCUGAACUGCUACUGCAGACUCUUUCAUGGUGUAAGGUUUCGAAUUUGGUCUCUGAAUUUCCAUGGAAUCUUUGUUGCCUUGUGGCACCAGUGCUUCUGUUAGCGUCUUCUUCAACAAUAAUUGCUCAUCGUUGACGCAUAGCACAAGGGCAGUGAAAAUAAGCAAAAAUUUUAUUAUUAUCGAUUAAUGAGGUUGGACUUUUUUACUCAGAAAAUUACUAUUACAUCUCUCAAUUUCUUAAGAAUUUAUUAAUUAAUUUUUAUAAAUUUUCAACUCAAUUAAUUAAUUUUUAUAAUGUAGGAUGGAGCAUGGAAGCAUUACCGUAAGAGAAGCAGAAAGGGAGAAGAGCCUAAAUUAAUUUGUGGUCUAUGUAUUUUUAAUUUUUAUGAAAUGAAAAAGUAGUGAUUAUGGAG
RNAcentral lists this long non-coding RNA (514 nucleotides) under Manihot esculenta (cassava). RNAcentral's name for it is "long non-coding RNA (MESC_LNC001903)". Lineage: Eukaryota; Viridiplantae; Streptophyta; Magnoliopsida; Malpighiales; Euphorbiaceae. The record is from RNAcentral.